This 74-nucleotide transfer RNA is filed under the name Paludibacteraceae bacterium. RNAcentral's name for it is "tRNA-OTHER". It matches the Rfam family "tRNA". Rfam says of the family: Transfer RNA (tRNA) molecules are approximately 80 nucleotides in length. Their secondary structure includes four short double-helical elements and three loops (D, anti-codon, and T loops). Further hydrogen bonds mediate the characteristic L-shaped molecular structure. tRNAs have two regions of fundamental functional importance: the anti-codon, which is responsible for specific mRNA codon recognition, and the 3' end, to which the tRNAs corresponding amino acid is attached (by aminoacyl-tRNA synthetases). tRNAs cope with the degeneracy of the genetic code in two manners: having more than one tRNA (with a specific anti-codon) for a particular amino acid; and 'wobble' base-pairing, i.e. permitting non-standard base-pairing at the 3rd anti-codon position. Lineage: Bacteria; Pseudomonadati; Bacteroidota; Bacteroidia; Bacteroidales; Paludibacteraceae. The record is from RNAcentral.
GCGGGAUAGUGUAAUGGUAAAACACUGGGUUCAUGUAUGUUCCAAUGAUGUAGGUUCGAAUCCUGCUCCCGCUA